UACGGAAGGGGCAAGCGUUGUUCGGAAUCAUUGGGCGUAAAGGGCGCGUAGGUGGUUCUGUAUGUCUAUCGUGAAAGCGUACGGCUCAACCGUAUUUUGUCGGUAGAAACUGCAGGACUUGAGGUUGGGAGGGGCUGGUGGAAUUCCCUGUGUAGCGGUGAAAUGCGUAGAGAUGGGGGAGAACACUUGUGGCGAAGGCGGCCAGCUGGACCAAAUCUGACACUGAGGCGCGACAGCGUGGGGAGCAAACAGG
RNAcentral lists this ribosomal RNA (253 nucleotides) under uncultured bacterium. RNAcentral describes it as "partial 16S ribosomal RNA". It matches the Rfam family "Bacterial small subunit ribosomal RNA", at positions 524 to 776 of the family's 1533-position model. The record is from RNAcentral.